AGAGUACAUGUCAGAUCAUUAAUUGUGAAUAUAGGUGUAAUAUAGUCAACUUGUUGUGAGAUAUAGCAGGCUUUGCUUGUAUCCAUUUUGGAAAACAAGUGGUGGACAUCCUGAAUGGGAUUUAGUCAUCUGAAUGUCUGUUUCUUGAGUCAUGGUACUAAAAAUUUGCAAUCAUUUGGUGGAAUACUGAAAUGCAUCUCUUACUGAAGAUCUUCAGUUGCCUAUGUAUUGGAGCCGUAGUCUGUUUUGCUCGAAGUAAACUAACUUGCUUUGUGUUCUUUUGGUACUUUGUACAGGCAAGGACAAGAUUAAGUGAUCUUUGCUUGCUGAUGAUUAUGGAAUUUCCAGACUGAUCCCAAACUGUGUAGUUGAUGUAUGUAAAGUGAGUAGAGUGACUGUCUUGUGACUGCUGAUUAAGAUAUUUGCUGCAUGAUCAGAUGUUUACAUCUGACUUACUAGGAUGAAUUGUUGAGGAGGUGUAUCUUCCUGAUCAGAUGGCCACAGCUAACUUAUUUGGUGGUUUAUCUAUUAUGCUGCUCUAGAUUAUCAGGCGUUAAAUCUUGUUCUAAUCUUUUGUCUACACGUAAUCUCCCACAAACAAAACUUGAUAACAUGAGAAUGGCCAAGGUCUACAUUUGUUCAGCACCCAUCACUCAGGAUGUCGUUCCUGAUGUAUUACAGGGAGAAAUGACCAGCGUUUCUCAGUCAUCCAGAGUCGUCCAAAGCCCAGCAGUUGUUGGCAUUAUGCCUUAAACAAGGGGGAGAGGUCGAACCUCUUAAACAGAAACAAAACAUGGAGUUGCAGCCCCUAUAGUAUCUGCUCUAAGCAAUUCCCUGUUUCCAUAAUUCCUAAUCUGACAUAUCAGAUUGUGGAAAGGUGAAUCCUGUCCUGCUCCUUGGAUUAGAUCCAGUGCUGCCUUCGAAUCCGUUUCCAGGAUCACUCUCCUUUCUCCUGAGCUCCACGCCAUUUCCAUCCCUUUUGAGUACUCCCCAUCGCUCUACUGUCGUAUUGUCUGUUAGCCCAAUAUUCACUGCGAAGCCAGCUUUCCAUCUUUCCCAGCAUUAUGCCUUUCGUUGGCAUAGUCUCUAACCAAAUUCUCAUAUUCAUCUCCUAUUUUCCCAGCAUUAUUGCGCUGAACUGAAUUCCCCAUGAGAAAGAAGUACCAGAUGAUUUCCGAUAAGUUCUCAAGUGUAUUUUGCAAAUGAGCUUCUUUAUCAAGACGCAAACAGCCUUGGUUGCCUGCCUAAACCGCCUCGCUGGAACGAGAUCAAUACAUUUUUUUUCGGAUCACUGCAUACCUUGACUAAGGCUAAUCACUAGUUGUAACUGCAUAAUCAUGAGUGUCGUGAAGAGGUUCGGCUUAAAGCAGCAAAAGAAGUGGGCCACAAUGAAAUGUUAAUUGGGUACUGCGCAGCAUUAAAAAUAUGAAAAAUCGUUCACCAUGUCAUUCACUCUUGAAAUGUUAAUCUUGUCAUUCACUCUUGAAAUGUUAAUCUUACGUCUCUUGUAGACUUAAAUUUGCAAAAUUUGGUCUCAACGUAAGUUGUAAACUAAUUUUUAAUAGAGUUAUUAUCACUUUACCCUCUUAAACUAUAUCACUACUAUCAGUUUACCCUAUAACGUUAUCUUUUAAUCAUUUUAUCCCCAUAAGUAAUUCAACUCAACGUGUUAAGAAAUUUUGGACAAAAAUACCCUUUUAUUUUAUGUUAUUACUACAUUAUUAUUAUCCCUUUCUUCGUUUGGAUUAUAGUGAUACAAUCGCUUUACUUCAUAACAUUAUUUUCUAGACAUUUUACCUUAUUAUUAAUCUAACUAGUAUGGUCAAAAAAUUUUAAAUAUAUUUACCCUUUUUUAUAUAUAAUUAAAAAUAAAAAAGAUUGGAAUGGUUAUUCUUCUUUUUUUCACUUUAAGAGAUCGAAAAAAUCUUUUUUUCAUACUUAUUACUACUAGGAAAAGAAAAAGAGAUAGGAAAGAAGGAGACAAAAAAUUAGAUUUUGCAAAAAAAAAGAAAAUAAAGAAAAGUCUAACAUUAUCGUAUUACUUUAAGGUUAUCGGGAUUAGAAUUGAAAUUUGGUGGUAAACAAAAAAGUGAAAUAAUUUUAAAAUAAUAAAAGUAUUUAAUUCUUUCUUAUUUGUAAUUUUUUUAAAAAAAAUUGAGCUCUCUCUCUCCCCCUCCCCCUCUCCAUAUUUCUAUUUUUUUCAAUAUUAAUAAGAUUGCCAAGAAAAAAAAUUAAUAUUUUGACUUUUUUUCUUGAUACUAAAAAGAAGAAGAGUCACUCUAAAUUUUUUAUUAUUUUGAUUAUGCAAAGAGGGGGGUAUUUUCUUCUAAAGUUUUUAACUUGCUAAGUUGGUUUAAUGGUGGGAUAAAUUGUCUAAAAAAUAAUUUUAGGUGGUAAAUUGAUAAUGAGACUAUAUUUUAUGGGGGUAAAGUGAUAAUAAUUUUAAGGGUUAAACAUGUUUUUUCACUUUAAUUAACAAACUCCGUUAAGUUUGAUCAUUAGUCUUGGGGGUAAAGUGACUAAAAGAUAACGUUAAGGGGGAAAUUGAUAGUAACACCAAACGUUAAGGGGGUAAAGUGAUAAUAACCUUUUUUAAUAUGAAAUCACCACACAAUCAACAUGUAGUCAUUUUCUUUUAUGUAUAAAUAGGUCAAAUUCAACUUUUUUAGUGUAAAAAAUGAAUAUGGAUUAGGUCAAAUUUCACUUUUUUUUUGGGAAAAAAAAUGAAUAUGAUUUGAGUCAGAUUCUACGUUUUAGGAACAAAAAUAAAGAUGGAUUGAAUCAUUUGUUUAACUAUAAAUGAGAUUUAACCUUUUUGUUUAAAAAAAAAAGAUCAUAUGUGAUCACUUGAUGGAUUAAGGAUAAAUUUUAUCGACUUAAUUUUGUAGGGGAUGCAAAGUUAGCAUUUAAAAGUGAAGAACGAAAAAAUUCGUUUGGUGAAAUGUGAAAAACAUUUUAAACGAUUUUUCCUUAAAAAUAAAAAUAAUCUGAAUUUGUAGUCCUUUCUUUUAUUUUUUUAUUUUUUGAAGAGAGAAUUUGAAAAUUUUCCGGUGGGCUUCUUUUCUUUCUCCUUAAAGUGUUUCAGUGUGAAUUUACCUUUUUCUUGAAGGGACAUAAUAUGUAUGUCACAAUAAAUAAAACUAGCCAGCUGAAUAUUUCUCAAGACUGUUAUGCUUUUCAUUUCAAGGGACAAUUGAUUAUUGAUCUAGGAAACAAGAAAAUCAAAAAGUAAUUGAGGAAUAUGCGAUAUUUUUCUAUAUCGUUUAGGAGGAAAUGUUGGGGUAGUCAAUUAAAAACCCUGAAAGAAUAAAAAACAAAACGAAAAAGUAAAAUCCGACUGGUACGUUACGACGUCGGAUUAUCCAUACAUUUCAUUUCCGUUCUCCCGUUGAACCCUACUAAAACCCUCUUCUGUGUCCAAUUUCAAGAAAUAGCCCCAAAAAGGGUUUAGAAGAAGGAAGUUGAAAAUGGCGAGCCGUCUCGUUCAUUUCCGACCGACGGCGAGACUCCGGUGGCUGUCUACAGCAACAGAAAUGGCAACGGCAACGGCAACGGCAACGGCAACGACAGCGACAACGGCUGUGACCCAAGAUACAGCAACGGCUGUGACCAAAGACAAGCCUAAUAUCUCUCUGUUCAGGAAACUGAAGGAGCUGAAUAUUGGACCAGGCUCAGACGCUAAUGUUUCAGUGGUUCUAGAUGAAUGGGCCAAUGAAAGUCAGGCUAAACGAUUCGAUGCUGCUAGACAAAUCAAUUUUCUCCGAUCCCGCAAACAUUACCAUCUAGCCCUCCAGGUAAUUUCUUGAAUUUGGUUAUUUUCUUCUUUCUUCUUCUUGUUUUUUUUUUGUUUUUUUAAAAAUUGUUUCUUUAGGCAUUCCUAGAUUUGUGGAUGAAUGAAUAUGCGACACGUGAGAUUUAUGCUUUAGAUGGUUUAUUGUGCUUGUGGAGUGUAUUUAUUCAAAUCAAGUUGCUGUAUUCUUAUUGGGUGCUAAAUUGUUGUAAUGUGGUGAAAUUUUCUUUGUAAUUGAUAUUAGUAUGCAUUCUAAUCUUUUGUUUCGAUUUGAAUAAAAAAAACUUUGAUUGUUUUAUUCCUUUUCGAAUGCUUAAUAUUCUUAGACAGAUAGCGAAUGUGAUUGUGGAAAAGAGCAUUACUUUAUCAUAGGAAGAAAAGUCAUUUGUUGGGUAUGCAAGAAGUGAUUGUUUAUUUGGGUAAUAUGGUCGGGUUGGAAACAGCAUAGAUGUGCCGUUUGUUAGCAUUGACAACUAUUUGUAAAACAGGGGAGGCAUAGAAUUUGGGUAGCAGAUGAUAUGUUUAUUGAACAUUAGAUGCUCAGUUUUUGUAGGAAGCUUUUUACCCUUAUGGAAACAAAAUCUGGGAUGUAUUCUUUUAAUAUGCUUGUUGAAAAUAGGUAAAGGAUCAAGCGUGGGUUGUAUAGGAAAUUGUACCUGUAUACCAACAAUGGGGAUUGAUGAGCAAGGAACAAGUUGAGUUGUAGAUUAAAUUGUAGUUAUCUAUCAACUUCAGGAAAUAUAUAGACUUUGCAUGGACAUCUGUUGAAUUAAUAAUAUCUUUUCCUUCCUUAGAUGGCAUUUUAUUUGCUUCGGUUUGUUCUCAAACUGGAUAGUUUGGUUUGGACUUUGUAAUUGUUUUCCUUAUCUUGUUACUAAUGCAGCUAUCAGAAUGGCUGGAGAGCAGCAAGAUUGAGAUGAACAAUGCUGACCGAGCUGUGCAGAUUGACCUUCUUGCAAAAGCUAAGGGUAUUGCUUCAGCUGAAGUUUAUUUUGAUGGUCUUCAGGGAUCUGCGAAAACAAACAAAACUUAUGGAGCACUUCUCAACUGUUAUUGUAAGGAGAAAAUGUUGGAUAAGGCUGUCCAACUCUUUGCCAAGAUGAAGGAGCUGAAUUUUACUUCCACUCUGAACUAUAACAAUGUGAUGUCUUUAUACUUGAGCAGUAACCAGCCCGAACAAGUCCCUCUGCUUGUGCAAGAAUUGGAGCAGAAUAAACUUAAAGCAGAUAAAUAUACGUGCAAUCUGUUGAUUAACAGCUAUGCUUCCUCAAAUGAUAUAAAUGCAGCGGAGAAAGUUCUUGAGAAGAUGAAGAAAGAUAAGGUAAAGUAUGAUUGGUUCACUUAUGGGAACCUAGCAACUAUUUACGUCAAUGCUGGACUUCUUCCCAAAGCCAAAGAAAUGAUAGGAGAGAUGGAGAAAUUUGAAAAUGUGCGUGAUCGUGAGUUUUUCCAUAUGCUAAUCAACUUGUAUGAGCUUAUGUCUGACUUGGCUGGGGUUAAUCAUGUGUGGAACUCCCUCAAGUCAGUUUUCCCCUCCCCCAGUAACACUAGCUAUCUCAUCAUGCUGUUGGCUCUGUUUAAAUUGGGUGACCUGGAAAACCUGGAGAAGUAUUUUAGAGAGUGGGAAUCUCAAUGCUCAUUGUACGAUGUCAGACUAUUCAAUGUGGUCUUGGAAUCUUAUCUUAAUAGGAACAUGAUUGGGGAAGCUAAUGCUCUCUAUGAAAGUAUGGUGACCAAAGGAAUCGAUCCCACCUUAGCGACACUGAAUAUUUUCACAAUCUACCACAUUAAGAAUGAUCAGAUUGAUUCAGCUCUGAAGUAUCUGGAGAUGGGUGCAUGCAAGACAAUCCCAGAGGAACAUAGGUGGUUUCCUACAGAUGAAACUGUCAAAUUGUUUUUAGAAUAUUUUGAGAAGAAAAAUGAUGCAACUAGAGCUGAGAAGUUUUGUAACAGCAUGAAGAAGAUUGGUCGUCUUGAUUCUGCCGUUUAUGCAUCUCUGCUUUCCAAAAGUUGAUGACUAGAUCACUGCAUCGAAGUAUAGAGGUGUUUCUGAUUUAAAUAUGGCAGUGAGAAGAGGCCUUGACAAUUUGAUAUUUUAUACUGGCCUAAUUUAAGUCUUGCAAGGAAAUCGAGUUAAUGUUCACAAAUGCUAUUGUGCGAAGCAAAGCUGGCCUGUACUGAAACCUAGACCUAAACUAUGGCGGUGUAAGACCCCCGCGUGCACGCCCGCCGGGGGGGGGGGGGAUCUAAACUGUGGUCGAACGCAGUUAUUAUCACAACGAGCAAUGUCGAUUCCCUUGUAUAUUUGUACGUAGGACAUUAGUUCUCCAUAUUCUGAUCAACUUGCCUUUUCACUUCAGCGUUCUUUUCUUGGUGUUCUGUUGUUUUUUGGUUUUUUUUUUUUCAGCAAUUGCCUCUGAUGUUGAAUCCCUGUACUAGAUAUGACAGCAUUCAUUGUUUAACCAUCCAAGCAAACGAACCAAAGAAGUUUCUUGGCUCGUUUGCGCAAUUUAAACUGGUGACGAUAAGAUGUUAGAACUGAUUAAUUAUCAUAAUGCUGUUGUAAGAAGGUUGUUGAUGAUUGAAGUGGCCAGCGUUAGGUUGAGGUUCCCGCACUGAGCAUCAGAUCUUGGGAAACAGUUAAGAGGUUCAAUCUUUCUUGUGUUUUAGUAUGAUAAUUUCUCAGGAGCAGCAGUUAAGUGCUUGAUUAAAGAAGAAAAUAAAGGAAUAAAGGUAUUUCAACAAACAAGAUCGCCGUGUUUGGACGCUAAUUCCUGGAUAAGUCUCUACCUCUCAACUUCUAUUCAACUAUUUCCUUCUAAUUUUUUUUUUUAUUUUGAGCAUCCGGGAUCCCUACUUUCAGUGAGACUAAUCCGUAUUCGACCCGAAAACACCCGCAGAGUUCGACUUAUUUUUUACCAUUCGGUAUCUCCAUAUUCAGUGAGACUAAUCUGCAUUCGGCCCAAGAAUACUCGCAGAGUUCAACUUUUACUCAGGAUAAAGCUCUGACUCAGAACUUUUCAAAAUAUCACAUACAGGAAUCGAAUUUAUGACUUUUUAUUGCCGUUAACAACUCGCUUACUAAUUGUCCCAAACUUACGGGUUAUUUCCUUUUAAAUUGUCUUAUCAAUCAAAGCCGGGAUGAGUUGUUGUGGCACGUCUGCUGAAACAGCAAAUACCACGUCACAGCGCAUCCUCCACUGGGAACCUUUGAGAAUAUGGGUCGACUUGAAUAUCACUCAUAAGUCCAAUUUCUUCAUAAACCAAGAAUUGAGUUUGAAUUCAAGAAUAUGAUUUGUUACGUGAGUCAAGCUCAAGCACAUCAAAACUCAACUUAUAAAAUCCAAUUGACAGACCUAUUUCACUUGAACAGAUAAAAUGCUCAAAUAAGAUAAGUAGAAUUCACUAACUUCAUUGACAGCAAUUCAUGAAGGACCCUUACAUGUCCAUUUGACUGUAUUACUUUUGUCAAAAGCCAACUAUUGAGCUUAGCAAGUAUUUCGUCCCAAGUACCUGUUUUAUACCCUGAUAAGGAUUUCCCACGAAAAUUACCCUCAAUGUGCACGAUCAGGAUGUCCUCCUAAGUCCUAGGUCUUAUCCGAUUUCAUAACCAGUGUGCAAAGCUAUUUAGGUCGGUUCUUGAACUUGUCUUAAUUGAAAUGCUUGAAACCCCAAAACUUUGGUAUAUCUACCACUUUGAGCAUAUGGAAUUCUUACAAUCUUAUAUUCAUCUGCUUGGCUGAGAUAACCAAAUCCAAGAGCCAAGAAACUACUAUGCCUAUUCGAAUGCUUUAUGUUAAUGCUUGAAGAGGAAAUGCACUUAUAUUUUCUAAUACAAUGAUUCCAUAAAUAUGGUUUGCCCAAUGUAGUAGAUGGUAUUUCUUUUUUAUUGGCAAAACUUUGGUUUUUAGCACAAAGGAAAUUGGAGGCUUUGACAGGGCUAGCUAUAAACCACAUAAAAUGUACCAGUUGGUUACUCUAGGGAAAGAGAUGAAUCUGAAAAGUUGGAGUUCAAGUUCACCAUGGUAAGGAAGCCAGAUCAAACCAGCCCCGUGCCUGAGUCACCUACUGAAGCAAGUAAAUCAUCAACAGUGGAAGAGAAGGCAUGGAACUAUAGCUGCUAUGCCUACGCCGCCAGAGAAGAUGAAGCUCAUUUCUUCUGGGAAUGCAAGGACUAAGAAGAAAUCACAGCAGUGCAUUAGCAAUUCAGUGUAUGGUGGUUGCAGGCUUGCAGCAGCAGCAGCUACAAGAGGGAAGCCUCGCAUCCCAAGCCCAAGGCAAAUGGUCCUCUUAGGAGCAAAGCUGAAGCCAUAACCUGGAGAUGCUUUUGGAUAAACCUGCUACUGGUAAUCAAAGCAUACCAUCCUUUUGGAUACACACAUGAGACGGAUCAAGCUUUCAGCUGGAAGCUACAACAGGACUGUAACAAUCACCUCGAAAGGAAGGUCUGGAAUUGUUUCGUGUUUCUUGGACUGGAAUCUAAAUAGUUCGCUUGGGUUUUUCAGAUUGUGAGGUGUUAUGAAAAUAGAGAAUUUUUGAACCCAUAGUUGGACCUAAAAAUUUGCUGCUUCUAUACACAAAAAAGAAGACACAAAACCCAUCCAAUUUUGAUACUUUGGAACUUUUUAUCGAUUGUGAACAAAAUGGCUGACCAGAAACGCCCUGUUUUUCCGAUAGAAAUCAUCACUCCGUUUUUUGAUCCAGCUACCUCCUAAGGUCUUGAUGAAGCUCAUGCACCUUUCAAGAUCACGGAAGAACUUGAUCAGAGACCCUAGUUCUCUACGGCAAAAUUUGAAAGAUUCUCAGCAAAAGGUAAUCGAUAUCUCUUGUAUUUGACUGCGGAGUUAUAACCCGUGGACUUUCAAGUUGAAUGAUGAUAGAUCAUUCCAAUAUUUGUUUAGAUUUAAGAAUGCCUAUUUUUUUGGUCCACUCCUCUUUUCCUUCCUCACUUCUUUAAUCUCACCUGUUUUCUAUCUUGACAAGGACUUCGCCCCAAAGUUACCCACAAUCUGCACGAUCAUAUUUACUUCUAUCCUUCUUCCUUCUUCUUAACCAGUGUCCAAAGAUAUUUAACUUAGUUCUUGAACUUGUUUAAAUUAACAUAUUUAAAUUAAAUCCUUGAAAUUCCUUCCAUGCAAGUUGAAAAGACAAUCGCUUUAACUUAGUUGAAACCUCAAUUGCAGACACUUUCAAGUCAAAAAAUGGACCAUCUUAUAUUUCCUAAGAGGUAAUUAGUGAAGCUAAAGCAGUCUCUUCCGUAAUAUACAGCAGAUUCUUGAAAGAACCUAGUAAUUACACCUAUACUCAGAGAGAAAUGGUAGUGGCAAUGUCGAAUCAUAUUGAGAAUUUCCAACGAUCUGUCAUAUAAAUGGAAAUAAAUAUUUGCUUUGAUAGGACCGGGCCAGGAAAUAGACAAACUCAAGUUAGCACAAAUUAGGCGGUAUAACCGACCAUAUAAUAGAUAGGCGGUAGAUACCAGCCAUAUAAUAAUUAGGCGGUAAAACCGACCAUAUAAAGACGGAUAACAAAGCAAAUAAAAGACACAAAAGAUUUACGUGGUUCGGUCAAAUUGACCUACGUCCACGGGCGAGAGAGGAGCAAUAUUUCUACUAUGAAGAAGAAAUACAAAAGCCGUAGGAAAGUGGUUCCUAGGCCAAUAGGCACUUACAAAAGAGUUUAGAAAAUAUUCCUAAAUUCAAAACAAGAGAGCCUAAAAUAUUUAACUGAAUGGGAUAGAUGACUCAAGAAGCUAAUGGCCCAUAUAACUCUCUUGAGUGGUGCGAUUGAAACCUUCAUAUGAGCCCCCUAUUUAUAGUUGUAUUUGGGAGGCUUUCCUUCUGCUUCAGGCGAUGUGGGAUGAGGAAAUUCUGCCACAGUCAAGGAUUGCGGCUGAAGAAUUGCGGCUCAACAAAUCUCCACCUUGGCAUAAUUUUGAGUCCCACCAUCGUCAAUAGUAAAUUCGCUCCACCUUCUCCACAUAAGACCCAAUGGGUCUAAAUCACAAAUAACGAACACCAACCAAGUCCAAGCACUGCUUGAACUUGUAAUUUGGAAGAGGCUUCGUAAACAUAUUGGCUGGAUUGUCCUUAGUAUUGAUUUUCUGAAUAAGGACUUUUCCCUCUGCAAUGAUAUCCCGAAUGAAGUGAUACUUCACAUCAAUAUGCUUCGUCCUCUCAUGAUACAUCUGAUCUUUAGUCAAGUGUAUGGCACUUUGACUAUCACAGUGAAUAUCAGUAACACCUUGAUAUAGACUUAACUCGCUAAAUAAACUCUUCAACCACAAGGCUUCUUUGAUUGCCUCGGUCACAGCCAUAUAUUCUGCUUCAGUAGUAGACAAAGCUACGACAGGUUGUAGAGUAGCUUUCCAACUAACAGCACAACUGCCAAUGCAAAAUACAUAGCCUGAAAGUGAUCUUCUCCUGUCAAGAUCCCCAGCGUAGUCUGAGUCUACAAAACCAACCAAAGUGUUAUUAUUUCUUCCAAACUCCAAACAUACAUUUGAAGUACCUCGCAAGUAUCUGAGAAUCCACUUCACAGCCUGCCAAUGUGUUUUACCAGGACAAGAUAUAUAUCUGCUAACAACACUGACUGCUUGUGCAAUAUCUGGACGAGUACAAACCAUUGCAUACAUAAUACUGCCGACUGCACUGGAAUAAGGAACCCGUGCCAUAUAAUCUUCCUCUUCAUCUGAUUUUGGUGAUUGAGCAGCAGAUAGCCGAAAAUGUCUAGCAAGAGGAGUAGAUACUGGUUUAGCAUCUUUCAUGCCAAAACGCUCCAAGACUUUCUCAAGGUAAUUUUUCUGGGUCAAAAAUAACUUCCCUACUCCUCGAUCUCGAUUGAUAUCCAUGCCAAGAAUUUUCUUAGCUGCUCCCAAAUCUUUCAUUUCAAAUUCACUAUUUAACUGCAGUUUCAAAGUGUGAAUUUCUGACAAAUUCUUGGCAGCAAUGAGCAUGUCAUCAACAUAAAGCAGCAAAUAAAUGAAAGAACCAUCAUUUAACUUCCGGAAGUAAACACAACUAUCAUACAUGCUCCUCAAAUAACCAUGACCCAACAUAAAGGAAUCAAACCUCUUAUACCAUUGUCUUGGAGACUGUUUCAAUCCAUAUAAGGAUUUCUUCAAUAAGCAAACAUGGUCUUCCUUACCUUCAAUUUCAAAACCCUGGGGUUGUCUCAUAUAAAUUUGUUCUUCAAGUUCGCCAUGUAAGAAAACUGUCUUAACGUCGAGUUGUUCUAACUCCAAAUUAUACAUGGCAACUAAAGCAAGCAAAACACGAAUAGAGCUAUGUUUAACAACAGGUGAGAAUAUAUCAUUAAAAUCAACACCUUGUACCUGACUAUAGCCCUUUGCAACCAAUCGUGCUUUAUAUCUUACAUCUUCAACCCCUGGAAUACCUUCUUUCUUCUUGAAAACCCAUUUGCAUCCAACAAUUUUCUUAGCUGACGGCGGCUUUACAAGAACCCAAGUUUCAUUACGAUGAAGAGAUUCAAUUUCUUCAUUCAUCGCAAUCAACCACUUUGCAGAGUCAUCACAAGAAACUGCUUCUGAAUAGGUGGAAGGCUCACCAACUGCAUCAGUUUCUUCUGCAACAGACAAAGCAUAUGCAACUAAAUUUACAUAUCUUUGUGGUGGUCGAAUGUCUCUCCUUGCUCUAUCUCUGGCUAUGGAAUACUCUUCUUCUUCAGAACUAUCUUCAACAGUAGAUUCAGGUGUAUCUACUGGCAUUUGAAUAGAAGAUUUGGAUUGAGAAGGACCAGAACUGCCAAUAUCAAGCUCCACCUGCUUCUGUGUACUAUCAGUAGUACAAGGACUAGAAGACUCCUUCUUGGAAGAUAACAGAGAUAAUUCAUCAAAAGUAACAUCUCUACUGAUUACAAAUUUUGGGGAUUUGGGAUCAGAAUACCAUAAUCUGUAUCCUUUCACCCCAGAAGCAUACCCAAGAAAAAUGCACUUUUUAGCCCUAAGCUCCAAUUUUCCAUCAUUCACGUGCAUGUAUGCUGGACACCCAAAAACUUUUAAAUUGGAGUAAUCAGCAGGAGUACCUGACCAAACUUCCUCAGGAGUUUUGAAAUCAAGAGAUGCAGAAGGAGAACGGUUGACAAUAUAACAGGCCAUAUUGAUCGCCUCUGCCCAAAAGUCGUUUGUCAACUCUGCAUUGGAGAUCAUACAUCUUGCUCUCUCCAAAAGAGUUCUGUUCAUACGUUCGGCCACACCAUUUUGUUGAGGCGUCAUCCUGACGGUGUGAUGCCGAACAAUUCCUUCAUUUUUGCAAAAUUCAUUAAAUUCACCUCCACAAAAUUCCAUGCCAUUAUCUGUUCUCAACCGCUUAACAUGUUUUCCUGUUUGUUUCUCAAUCAAAACUUUCCAUCGUUUGAAAGUUAGGAAAACAUCAUUUUUAUGCUUAAGAAAAUAGACCCAAACUUUCCUUGAAUAAUCAUCAAUGAAAGUCAACAUGUACCUGGCACCACCUUUAGAAUGAGCACGAGAAGGACCCCAUAGAUCUGAAUGAAUGUAAUCAAGAGUACCUUUUGUCUUGUGAAUUGCUGGUGAACUGAAGCUGACUCUUUUCUGCUUCCCAAAAAUACAAUGUUCACAGAAUUCCAAUGGCCCGGUACUUUGACCACACAGAAGUCCUCUUUUGCUCAGUAUGCCCAAGCCUUUUUCGCUCAUGUGCCCCAAACGCAUAUGCCAUAAUUUGGUGAUGUCAGUAUCUGACAAAGAUGAUGUUGAAACAGCAGCAGCACCUGUCACAGUAGAUCCCUGCAAAAUAUACAAAGUACCAGAUCUGUGUGCCUUCAUAACAACAAGAGCUCCUCGAGUGAUUUUGAGAACUCCGUUUCCACCUGAAUACCUGCACCCGAUAGACUCAAGAGUGCCCAAAGAGAUGAGAUUUUUCUUCAAAUCUGGAACAUGUCUAACAUCUGUGAGAGUCCUCACAAUACCAUCGUACAUUUUAAUUUGGAUUGUGCCUUUGCCAACUACUUUACAAACAGCGUUUUUGCCCAUUAAGACAACUCCACCUUCAGUUGAUUCAUAUGUUGAAAACCAAUCCCUGUUGGGACACAUAUGAUACGAACAACCCGAAUCUAAAAUCCACUCAUUGUUAGACCUAAAAUUAUUUUCCGUUGCACAGAAAAUGGUUCCAUCAUUCUCAUCAGCUGCUAUACUAGCUUCAGCGGAUUCAGUAUUUUUCUCAACAAAUUUCCCCUUUUGCUUUUCCUUAUUUUUCAAUUUAAAGCAAUCAGAAAUAACAUGACCCUUCUUUUUACAAUAAUUGCACACCACAUUUUUAUGUCUGGACUUGGAUCUAUUUCUAUUUUCUGUGUUUCUCUUUUCAGAUCUACCCCGAACAAACAAGCCAUCAGCUUGACUCCCACUAGUUUCCCCAGUAAUAUCCCUAUCUAUCUGCUCUUUAGAUUUUAACGCAGAUUUAAUUUCCCGAUACAAAAUUGUUUCCUUUCCAUAUAUCAUAGUAUCACGGAAAUACUUAAAGGACUGAGGAAGGGAACAUAAAAGUAAUAGGGCCUGAUCUUCAUCAUCAAUUUUCGAAUCUAUAUUCUCCAAAUCCAUAAUAAUGGAAUCAAAUUUAUCAAGAUGGGAGAGUAUAGAUGUACCUUCAGACAUCCGAAGCAUAUACAAACUCUGCUUCAGAUAUAGCCGAUUCUCGACUGUGUUCUUCAUAUACAAGGCUUUCAAUUUAUCCCACAUAGCCUUGGCCGAAGUCUCCGUUGCUACCUCACGCAAUAUCUCAUCGGAGAGAUUUAGGAUAAUACUGGAUCUUGCCUUCUUAUCCAUCUCAGCAAAAUUUGCAUCUGUCACAUCUUCUGGCUUUUUCUCAAUUCCUUGAAUUGCCAAAUCAACUCCGUCUUGAACAAGAAUGGCCUCCAUCUUGAGCUGCCACAUGCCGAAGUUGACAUUCCUGUCGAAUUUCUCGACAACCGUCUUUGUUAUCGUCAUUGUUGCCACAAAAUCUGUAACUUGAAAUUUGUCUCAAAAAAAAAACUGGCCAAACAAAUAUGCAAGUCUCGUGAGCGGGCCCCACAGGGUGAGCGGACCCCACGAGAUAAGCGGGCCCCACGGGGAUGAACGGACCCCACAAGGUGAGCGGGCCCCACGGAUAAACGGACCCCACAGGAUGAGUGGGCCCCACAGGAUGAACCUGUCUUGCAAAAUAUAACAACCAGCUCUGAUACCAGUUUGAUAGGACCGGGCCAGGAAAUAGACAAACUCAAGUUAGCACAAAUUAGGCGGUAUAACCGACCAUAUAAUAGAUAGGCGGUAGAUACCAGCCAUAUAAUAAUUAGGCGGUAAAACCGACCAUAUAAAGACGGAUAACAAAGCAAAUAAAAGACACAAAAGAUUUACGUGGUUCGGUCAAAUUGACCUACGUCCACGGGCGAGAGAGGAGCAAUAUUUCUACUAUGAAGAAGAAAUACAAAAGCCGUAGGAAAGUGGUUCCUAGGCCAAUAGGCACUUACAAAAGAGUUUAGGAAAUAUUCCUAAACUCAAAACAAGAGAGCCUAAAAUAUUUAACUGAAUGGGCUAGAUGACUCAAGAAACUAAUAGCCCAUAUAACUCUCUUGAGUGGUGCAAGUUAAAUCCUUCAAAGGACCCUUCUAUUUAUAGGCCUCGAGUAGCCGGCUUCUCUUCAGCAGGCUCCGAUGUGGGAUGAGAAGGAAAUGAAAAAUUAUGCCACAAGUCAAAGCUUGCGGCUCUGACAAAACAACAUGCUUCAUGCUCCAUUUCAUAAAUAAAAAACAAAAGGAGCAUUUGCCAAACAAAUCAGCUCAUAACAGAUAAUAAGUUGGAAGCCCUCCCAAUUAUUUUUUCUUUUUUCAAUAAAAACUAAAACAUAAACAGAUAGUUUCUCACUUUUUUUUUCGCCAAACCUCCCUCAGUGCAACAGUAAUCGGUGGUUUUCCAAGAUAAACUUUAAGAAAAAUUCCAAUAGUUUUACAUACACACACUCCCUCCGCGGGGGGUCUUCUCCUUUUAUGAGCUAUAAAUCCCCUAUGCUUGGAAGAAGAACUCCAUAAUUGCCAGAAACCCAGGAUCGCUAUUAUCAUUUUUAUACUUUACACCUUCCACAGUACACUCCUUAACUUCUCGUAUUCCUUGUAAAGAAACUUCAAAUUACACAUACACUCACAGAUACACACUUUCCAUGGCAAAAUGAAUAAAAAAUAAAACGUUACUGAACAGCCUGUCAGAUCAAAUGCAAGGUCCGUCCUCAAGCCAACACCCAAAAGCAUCAGCAACAGCAGAAGAAGAUGAGAUCGCACAAUUCAUCGUUUGCAAUGAGCUCGUCAAUUAGAUUCUCUCAAGCUUCUGGUGCGUUUUCAAAUCUUGGCUUUGUUAGAUCCCUGGAGUUCGUCAAAACCCAUGUGGAGAAAUCUCACAAUCCACAAAACCAAUGACUACAUGUUGCAUAGUUUUUUUUUUCAUGAUUGGUUUUUAUCCAAAAUUAAGCAGUCUUCUCUUCAUUUUGCAUUGUAUUUUAGGCAGUUAAACUACCAGAGAGAGAGAGAGAGAGAGAGAACAUCUUGUGGUAGUGCUUGUUGUUCCAUUAGGCCAAGUUAAAGGUCUGAAUACAUUGAUAUGCUCAAAUUGGCAUUUUCUCAGAUUUAACCAAACUGAACUAAAAUAAGAUCAAACAAAACAUGGUCAAACACUCUUUUUACAACUCAAAUAAAUUGCUUUUACAAUUAAAAACAUUAAUGAAGUAGAUUGGAUUAAGCCAAAAAAACAACAAUUCGUAUAAUUUGACCUCUAAAGUGAAGCGGAAAUCAAAUAGAGAAAAUUGGACAAAAAAUUUAUGUAGUUUGGUUUAAAAGCUACCUACAAUAUCUUAGGUCGUCUUCUCCUUGUGUAAUUUUUGAAUAUGCAACAUAAAAGGCUCGUCUUUUGAUGUUAACAUCUUUAAGUUUGGCAAAUUACAAACGUAAGGACUUUGUUUUGAAACAUUCAUGAAACGAUAGUGAUACAAGGCCGAAAAUGUAUCAUCAAAAAACAUAUGGUUGUGUACUGAUCUAUGUGUGAUGUAUUUAUAAGCUAAUCUAACGUACAAGUGGUUCAAAGCUGAUCUACCACUUUGUAGUGAUUAGGUUCAAAGAAUCUUCACUAAAAUAGUGGUUCAAUCGAAUGACACCAUUAUUUAUGCAUACGAUUAUCAGAUUAUUCUGUAACCUUUGGAAGUCUAUUUUUUAAAAUUUGAAAUGGCCGAGGAUUGUUGAAUAUUUUCAAAAUUUGAUUAGUUGCAAGAUGGGGUCCUGUCUUAGGAUUCAACAUGAGACCCAUCACUAUUUGGUUCUUGUAAUGCUCAGCUAUGUUUUCAGAACCGGACCGGGUAGUGACUUGGCCGAGGUCAGGGGUCAGGGGUCAAUGGAUUCGACCGGGGGUCGAUAGGGGUCGAACCGGAUGACGUCAUAAAUAAAAAUUAUUUAAAAAUUAAAAUAUUAUAUAUAUAAUAUCUAAUAAUAUAUUGAUAUUAAUAAAGGUAUAUUCAUAUAUAUUUGAUGUUUCAAAUAUAUUUAACAAGAAAAUACAAAAAAAUUAGAACAAUCAAGUAGCAAUUUAUAUUAUUUAAUAAAUAUUAACAAGUUAGAAUUAAAAUUAUGAAUUUAAUUGAAAAAUAACAUCAAAUUUUAGGACAAUAUUUAUAAAGUAUCAAAUAUUUGAGGUAUAUCAAUAAGUUUUAACAAUUUAGGGGGUCAAAACAUAAUAUUAAAAAGUUUGAAUUUUUUUUUAAAAAAAUUACUGUUGAACCAGAAAAAUCGGUUUUUUCCCGAUCAAACCCUGUUUUUGACCGGCUUUGACCGGGUUUUAAAUUUUCGGUUUUUUAAUAUGACUCGGACCGGCUACCUGGCCGAUUCCCGGUUCGACUGGCCGGUCCGGUCCGAGUUUUAAAACAGAGAUGCUCAGAAGUUGUUUAAAUCUACUUGACAUCUUUUCAUAUUUUUGACAGUUGAUUAUCCAAAAACUGUCUGAACACUUACAUUGAUAUUGAGGAAAUUUUUUACCAACACAAAUGCACAAAUCAGUGGUGAAAGGUUGAACUCUUGAUCAUUUUCAAUCUCAAUUCUAUAAAGGUCUAGUAGGGAUAGCUUGCUGUAGAAGAUUAUUUUUCCUACUAUUAGAAUUUUUUGCAAAAACACACCAUAGUUCAAGUAGAUUUGUUUAACUUUGUACAAGAGUUAAGACAAGCAUUCUUCAAAUUAUCCUAAAGGAUAUUUUUUCAAAGUUUUUACACACAAAAUUUUGGACAAAUAAAGUUUAAAGGAAAGUGAUCUUGAAUCACGAUUUGAAGUCUUUUUGCUUUGUAACUUUCAGCCAUGUUCUCUUGUAGUCUCUAAUAAUUUUUUCGAGGCUCUAAUUUGGAGACGCAUACAUUGCACGUGGAUUAGAAUAUGGCUAGAAGGAAGACUAGGAGAAUAGUAGAGACCAAUAUAUAUAUAUACUAGUUUUGGGGUGCCACGCAUUGGCGUGGCACUGCCCAGGUUUGUGUUUAAUAUGUAUAUAUAAUUUUGGUGUUAUUUAUGAGAAGAGUGUUGUAUGGUAAUACUGAUGCAAUGGCGUGACAGGAUUUAGUUAUUAUGGGCAACACAUACAAAAGAAAAAAUAAAAAACUAAUAAAUAGAAGAGAACCUGAAAGAAAGAAGAGAAGAAAGCUCCCUAUAGCCUAACCGAAAGCAAAAAACAACGGAGUUAAACUGACAUCACAGUCACCCAGCGAACUCGGAUCAAUCCAGUAUUUGCUCAACAAUGACCAAACGUACCAUGCAGCAGCCAACUGGACAAUGACUCAACGCACCCUAUACACAAUAUAGCGCCACACAGUCACCUACAACAGCACCCACUAACAUGCACCCGAUUCAAUAAACCCCACUAAAAGGCAAUGCCCAGGUUUAAGCUUAGCAUGUAUAAUUUUAGGGUUCUGUUUAUAAUGCAAUGCAUGUAAUGGUAUCCAAAUGGAAAUUCAUGUGCAUGUGGUGAGAAUAUUUGUCUAUAAUAAUGAUAUACGCGUUAUUGAAUCUGGAGUAAAUAUACUUACAGGAGAGAUAAUUAAUUGUAUUAGGUUUGUCAUGCCUAAAUGAUUUUUGUUGAUAAUUUGGAAAGGAUUAUUUUGUUUUAUUUUUUAUUGUUCCUUUGAUAUGUUAUAAUUUCUUUUAUGGGUUAUCCUAAUUGUUAGGCUCAUAUAAUAACUUAGGUAGUAACUAAGUUAGGAUAGUUAAAUUCUGAUUUUUGUUAACACUCAAUUGAAUUCUAAUUAUCAUCUACUAUUAGCUAGUCAAUAGUUUUAGUAUAGUUAAAUUAGUUAAAUUUUUCAUUUUGAAUUCAAAAUUUGAUUUUAUUAUAGUUCAAUUAGUUAGCUAGUCAAUAGUUUUAGUAUAGUUAAAUUAGUUAAAUUCUAAUUAGCUAGUCAACACUCAAUUAAAUUCUAAUUAUCAUCUACUAUUAGCCAGUCAAUAGUUUUAGUUUAGCAUAGUUAAUUUAGUUAAAAUUUUCAUUUUGAUUUUAUUAUAGUUAAAUUAGUUAGCUAGUCAAUAGUUUAAGUAUAGUUAAAUUAGUUAAAUUUUUCAUUUUGAAUUGAAAUUUUGAUUUUUUUUUAACACUCUAAUUGUAAUUAGGAACGAUUAGCUCCUUGAAUUGGCCAAUAUUACACCAAUAACCGGUCUAAUGUGGCUAAUAUUACACCUAUUUGAUUUUAUAUCAUAUAUUUCUAAUUGUAAUUAGGAAAAUUUUGAUUUUAUUAUAGUUAAAUUAGUUAGCUAGUCAAUAGUUUUAGUAUUGUUAAAUUAGUUAAAUUUUUCAUUUUGAAUUGAAAUUUUGAUUUUUUAACACUCUAAUUGUAAUUAGGAACGAUUAGUUCCUUGAAUUGGCCAAUAUUACACUAAUAACCGGUCUAGUGUGGCUAAUAUUACACCUAUUUGAUUUUAUAUCAUAUAUUUCUAAUUGUAAUUAGGAACGAUUAGUUCUUUGAAUUGGCCAAUAUUACACCAAUAACCAGUCUAAUGUGGCUCCAUGCAAUCACCAACAAAUGAAGAAUAGUUAUUGGCACCACCGUAACCAAAGGGCCCUCAGAUUGGUGUAAAUUACUGCAACAACCCACUAAGACACCCUAACCAAAGGCCCCUCAAAUUGAUGAAAAUUACUGCAAUAACCGGACCACAAUUGCUACAGUAACUUGAGCUUGGUACUUUUAUAUCUUGUAAGAUAUAUAUAUAUAUAUAUCCCAACAAUAUAUUUAUAUCCCCAAAUGGAUGCUUUUCUUCUGCCCCAAUUCUUUAAUCUUGGUAGUCCUUGAUGUAUAACUGGCUGCUAAUAUAGCAAGUAUUUGAAUGACAUCAUAUGGUAAGGACAUAAAUGCAUCCACUUAAUACAGUCCAUAUUUGCAUGCAUGUUACAUGACAACGUAGACAUUCAAGAGACCAAAAGUGAACUAAGAAUAUGUCUAGUUGCAUAUCAUUGUGUUGAAACCUUGAAAGCCCUUUUAACUGAUAGUUGUACCUGUACCCCAAAGUUCCUGAUCGAUCGCCAGCCCUGAGUUCGUUAUGUGGAGAAUUGUCUGUCAACAUCUAUAACUACAAGAAGCGAAGGUUGGUUUUUCAUGAUAGUUUCUCACUUGCAAUCCAAUAUCCUGAUCAUAUUUUUCCAAGCUUUGGAAAAAGACGUGAAUUUCACGGGGGAUUUAGAUGGAAAGCAAAAGGAGUAUGGUAGUAAUGAUCUCAAAAAGAAGACAAGGAUCUUCCUUGUCCCAUCGACCUUGGCUGAGAGUUUAGUUGAUUUCGUCCAUAUAUAUGCAGGCCAUGUAGGCUAUGUAUGUUACAUGUUAUAGGCCUCAAAUAAUCUUUUCCAGGCCUUGGUUUGGAGAAGCACAUAAAUCGCACGAGGAAUAUUACAGGAGGAGAAUGGUAGUGACAAUUAAAAAAGACCAAGGAAACCCUCUCAAACACUUGCUUUCGAUUAACAUUUGCUCAGCAUCUGAGAUUAGUUGAUGACGGAAACACUCAUCAACUGUUUGCCAUCCAUAACCUUUGCGUGCAUGUACGAGUAUGCUAGAUGGCUGAAGCUUCAAACAUACAGCUGAAUUUGAGUUUUUUUUUUUUUUUUUUGAGGUUUUAGACGGUGGAUUUUGGGAUUAAUUUCUCAAUCAAGUGCAAGAAUGUUGACCAAAAUAUGGAUUUACAACUUUAUGCUACUUGUCAACUUUGGCUGAUAAUUAAAAAAAAUGUUGCGUUUGCAACUACCUGCCAACUCUUUGCUCUCAUUUUCUACGUUUAUGCUUGAGAUUCUGAAAUUUUAAGGGGUUUGAAUCAAUAGUUUUAUGGUUAAAUUCACUGAAGUGUGACAAAUGGACUCAAAUUGAAAAAAAAAAAAAACAAAAGUAAUUUAAGCAAGGUAUCAUAAGAGGGAGAAUGAAGAAGAAAAGAGGGGAGAAAUCAAUCCAGAGAAUGAACAGUACCACGACAGAAACUGUUAUAAAGGAUAAAAGAGUUGCAACAAUGAUGAGGGAUGUGAGAGUGGUCUUAAGAUACAUAGGUCUUACCAUUUCCGAAUCUAAUCUGUGUAAUCAAUAUAUUUUUAAUGCUUUCUUUUUCUUUCAACAAUUUUUUUCUUGUAAUAAAUUUAAAUUAUUCAUUUAUUUUUCUAGAGUAACUUUACUUAAUCAGGCUUUAAUUUAUUAAUUUUUUCUUAGAAACUAAGUAUUUGUUUCAUGAGAAAAUGGAUUACUGCAUCUUUUAUAUUUAAUUGAAAAGGUUACGUAGCCUUAGGUGUAUAAUUAUUGUAAAAAAUUUAAUUGCUAUCUCAAAAACCUUUUUUUUUUUUUGGUUUAUGCAUCCUAUUAUGACAUAUUUAUGUAUAAAAGUUAUUAAAAAUUGGUAUGGUUGUCGACUAAUUAAUAUGUAAUAAUUUUCUGGAAUAAACAUCAUAAAACAUAUAAGAAUAUCAUUCAUAUUUCUUUUCUUUUUCGGUUAUUUAUUCCUUGGACAUGUUCGUAAAUAAUUAACAAAAAUACGUGCAUUAGCACGGCUGAAAUACUAAUUAUUAUUACUUCAAUGAAAUCCACGAUGGUUGUACGUACUCUUUUAUUUGAAAUUUAUAUUUGUCGACUUGAAAAUGACCAAGAACAAUGCAACACCAUUUACGUGGCUUAAAUUAAUACGACAUGAUUACUACAACUAGGAAUAAUCUAUUUCUCAUGUAGAUCGACUAUGGAAAAAACUAUUUGGACACAAAAACUGCAUCGUCUUCUAAUUCUUUAGUUGUCCAAAUUGCUUCAUGAACUUCAAAAUUGUCCUUAAACUUUAGAUUGGGAUAUCUUAUUCCUAAAAUGCAAAAGCUUCUGCCAUUUUAAUUAGCCCUUCUCAUAAGAUAAUCAUUGCAUUAAAAACUUACUUAAACAAGCAAACUAUGAUUGAAAAUAAUAGAAAUGCUAUUCUCUUUAUCGUGAAAGGACCUUAUGCUACAAGUGAACUACAACGUGAUAAAGUCAUGACAAUAGAUAGGGAAGCUUGGAUAAGUACCAAAAUGUUGCCUAAUCUUGUGAUCUCUUGGCCUAAAAUUUAAUGUCGGUGUUACAAUAACAAGUUAAAUAUUUAGUUAAUGGUCAUAGUAAAAGCAAAUAAUCUUCAAUCAGUCAAAUGAGUCCCAUCGUGAAUUAAUAGACAUACAUCAACUUAAUUAUCUAAUUUUUUUUUUUUUUUUUUGGAACGACACCAUUUACACAUCUAAAAAAUAAGCAACCAUAUUCUUUAGGGUAUGAUCUCAACUGUAUAUGGAUAUAGAAGUCACAAGUUCACGCCUCACUUAAUUAUUUGAGGUCGAUUUGGUUUUGCAAAGACAUAUAUUUACUAGUCAUAAAUAAUAUAUAUAUUAACUAGGUAAUUUUUGGAGCCAAAAUUAUUCUCUUUCCCAGGUUGCAGUAAACAACUUAAAGAACCUAAUUCCAGCUUACCUGCGGAUUGAUAUAUAAAUUGGGAUUUUGAAUCUUGAAUCUUCUUCAAAUUAUCUGUCGUGAAUUAGAUUGAAAGACAUAUUCAUUUUCUUAAAAGAAAAAAGCAGUAAACUGAACUUAUAACCCGUCAUGGGUCUAUCACAUCACAGGGAAGGAAUGUUGCAACACCAAACAGUGAAAAUGUCUCCAAUGAAACAUCAUAAUAAAAAAUUCCCAGCAACUCUACAAAAAUUUUGACACAAACUUUCAAAUAUAGAAGUACUGCGACACUUUCUUGAAACCUUUCUGUGUUUUGCACAAACUCAAUAGCCAUGCCAAGAAACAUCAUGAUUUGCACGCACCAUGUUUCAAGUUUGAGAUCCCUCCUAUCCUGGAACCCAAACUCAGCAACUACUUGAAUUCCUCUUAAGUAGCCAUCUUGUCUUGUCAGGGGAUCCCUUGUAGAUCCAUCAUCUUUCAAUGUCACCAAACCAUCAAGCAUGACCAGCGCAGAGGCAUAUAGAGUUGUGAACGGAUGAACAGUCAAGUAAUAACUAUACGAUUUGAGCUCCUCAAAUCGAGAGUAACGUUGUCUUUGCGAUCCCUUGACGUAUAUACAAGAUGAAACCGAAUCUUCUGAAUCUAAAUACAUUGAAUUUUGGUCUACAAUGCUUGGGGAAUGACCAAAUUCUCCACACUUGAGAUCAAAACGAGAAUUGGACGAGAAGUUUAGGAGGAAUUAAGUAACUAGAGAAUAGUAAAGCUGGUCUGCAACAUAAAACAGGGAUUUUGCCACAUCCUCUGAUAUUGCAUCAGACUUGAACUUUGCAUCUUUCGUUGUCUAUAUGGCCCCAAUCAAUUAAAUGGAUGCAAAUCAUGCAAUGAUGUGGAGGCCAGUGUAUAGUGUAUAAUCCGUUAUAAUCUUACAUGUAUGCAUAAACGGAUGUAUAGCAUGAAUCUUUCACACAUAAACACCUGUUUAUGCACACUGGUGUGAUUAAUUAGCCUUCUCAAGUGGGAAAACUAAUUAACAUAAUACAUAGGGCUCUGAAAUCCUUGCCAACUUAGAGUAGGAGUACGCCUAGACUGCUAGUGAUGCUUAAAUGCAAUUAGAUGACGGGUUUUAUUUAAUCAGAUUUUCAAACGAUUGUAGUUAUUCUUGGUGCUUUAUGCAUAAAUGGAGAAACCUCAUUCAUUGCUUUUGGAUAUCUUAUCACUCAUAGAAAAGUAUACAUGAUAGAGUAGAAAAACAAAAUUCUCUGCUUAAUUAGCGAUGAUUUGAUUUAUUAAACCAAUUGAACAUGUACACUGGGGUCAAUUUCGAAAGAUUUUGCACUUCACACUUGUAAACGAUAUUAGAUUCUCAAAUAAUCACACAAAUUAAGGCGUUUGAUACUUGGCACGCUACUAGUCAGCUAGUUAUAGGCUAGAAUAUGACGGUUUAUCAUAUUUUCAUUUUGCCACUUAAAAUGAUCAAAGCGAUUGUGAUGAUGAUGAGGGUUGAGGGAAGUGAAAGUGAAAGUGACAUUAAUUAUCAUUUUGAUUGAAAGCUGUGUCCUUCCAAGCUUGAGAUAUAUAACGAUCUAAGGGGUAGGAAGCAUUUUCUUUUCUGCGGAAAGAAGGGUGGAAGUGACUGAAACAGGAGCAAUAUAAAGAUUUGGACAUCCAGGGAAUGCAGCACAGGAGAAGGGAAUUAAAGGGAGUGGUGACUGAGAAUCUUGUUGAUCCUCCUGAUAUAUGCAUGCUCUUACCUCAGAAUCCUCUAGCUCUGAAGAGGGUAAUGAUGAUUCUGAUGAUAACUACGACAAUAACUAGGAAGAACCAGGGAGCUCUAUUAUCACUUUUAUGGGCCCAUAAAUAUCAAACAACAAAAAUAAUUUAUCAAGCAAGAAAGCACAAAACAAAAAAUGGAGUCUAUCAAAAUGCAGCGGCUACAACUUACUAAAGAAAUGGAGACAGUGCCUUUAGUCACUAUUUCGACAUUUUGAUGAAUGGCUGACCGUGUAUUUCCUAAUUGUAGAAUUACGUAGGUAAUUUGUGGAGCCAAGAUAUUGUUUUCACAAUUUGCAGUGCAUAUAGAGGAUUAAUUUGCAGUACAACUCAAAAAAUGGAAUUCCACACAUACACACGCACACACAUAUAGAGGAUUAAUUCUUCUUACAUCGUCACACUGUAUAUGCUGAUAGGAUUGAAUGAAUGUCAUAUUAUUUGAAUUUGAAUUUAAACAUUAAAUUUUGUAUAUGUGAUAUGCAUUAAUUUAAACCCGUUAGUGUAUACGCUAUUAAUGCAUAAAAGAUUUACUCAUUUAUAUAUAUAUAUAUAUAUAUAUUUGGAAAAACACGUGACUUGCACGAGAAUAUUAAGACCAAGAUGAAUAUGAAAAAUUUCUAUCCUAUAAAGUUUUUUGGGUUUCGAUUGCAUGUACAAGGGUAGACUUGCCAACAAGCCAAACACCAAAGUGCAACAGAGAAGUGGCCCUAACUAACCUCCUUCGAUUUCUCCAUCCACGAAAAAUUAUAGCGCAAAUGAUUCUUGCGUCCCUAUAGAUUAUGUUUUAGGAAGCACCAAUCCUGGUUAAACAAUUUGUGAAACAAGGCUUUAAUAUGAGUAUAGAUUAUGAGUAUAUAUAAAUUAACAAAGGCAAUUUCUAGAGGGUAUACAACUUGUUUAAUUCAGAGAAUUAGAAUAUCGUACAUGGUAUGCUUGUCUUGUGGAUGUUUUUUGAAUUUAUUAUCUCUCUGUAUAUUCUUUUUUUUUUUUUACAAGUCUUGAAAAUAUAUUGUUCUAUGUCUUUUUCCAAAAUAAAUUGUAUUUUUCUUUUCAAUUUGUCAUUUUAUGGGGAUAAAAAGUUCCAAAUUCAUAAUGGUCUCUUUUUUCUUUUUUUCUUUUUUUAUAAGCCCUAACGGUCUUGUUUUGAUUUGGUUCAGAAUUUGGGAACCUACUAUCUUUUUAUAGUUAAAAAAGAGUAUAAAACUAAGUCACUUUAUGAGCCUUGACAGUAGAUAUUAACAUUUGUUGGAAAAAACAUAUGAGUCUUGAUAGUAUUAUGCUUCUUUUAAAUUAAAAAAAAAAAGGGAAAAACAAUGGCACAAAGUUGGGCACACUUUUGUUCUUAGUUUUACACAAAUGAAUUAUUAGAUUUUUAAACUUAUGUUGUAAAAAAAAAAAGGACAACUAAACAAAAAAAAAAAAAAGAGGAAAUGAAAAGAAUAGAGAUGAAGCUGAAACACAAAUAGUCAAACUCUCAUUCCACAUUUGUUGAUCUAUUUGAAAUGGUCUUUUUUAUCAUUUGCAAAAUUCUUUUCUUACCAGAAGUUUUCCAAAACUAAAGACACCACCUUUUAAAUACCAAAAUUCAUUAAUUAUAGUAACGUUAUUCACAUUAACGAGUGCCCAUUGAACAUCCGUGGACCAAUUAACAAAUAUGUGAAAUGAGGCUUUAAUAGAUUUAAUGACAAUAAUAGUUUUCUCGACUGUACUUCUCGGAUGAGUAGCUCACCCUCAAGUAUUUUUAUCUCUCUUUUUCGAGAAGAAAAUAUUAAAAAGAUAGGUUUUCUUGAGCAAACAUUAAUCUUCUAUCAAUCACAGAUAAACUUGUACGCACAAAAAAAAGAAAAAGAAAAAUAGAAAAUGAUACAAGUAGUACAACUAGUCAACCCAAAGGAAAACUUAGAAUCCAUUUGGAUUGCAUUUUUUUUUUUUUUUUUUGGAGAGUUUUGUAGAAGAAUUCAUGUGACGAUUUUUUUUUUAGGUGUGAUGUAUAUAAGGUAAAAAGGUAAUUGAAAAAUGUGAAAAUGAAUAAUUUGAUGGAAACUCAAAAAAAUUUUCCACUGAAAGUACAACCCAAACAAGGCCAAAUUAUUUACCUUCGGAAUGCUAGAGGCUUUGAGAAGUUCUGUAUAGUGCAAACAAAGCAGUAUUGGUUUACUUUAGAGAAUUGAAAUUAUCUUCCUCAAUCAGUACAUCGAAAUGCAAAAGAAAACAAAUCCAUCCAGCCUAAACUUAUUUUCAAUUGAAGUAUGAAAUUAUCCUGAAUUAAUGCCUUUACAUAGAUAGCUCUCAUUACCCUUACUCCUUCUACUCAUCAUGUUCAACUUUUGGUCUGUAAUCUGCUGAGGUGCACAGAUGUUGCACCUUGCCUGAGCUAUAUUAAUGGUAUUUGCAUUUAGUUGCCACUUAGACAUGAGGUAAUAUGCAUUUGUCUUCUUAACAUCUAUAUAUAUAUGUGUGUGUGUCUGUCACAGAAGGAGCACCUGUAGUACAUUUUAAGUUGUACCCAAUUUAAGCUUAAAUGUGUAAUUAAGUGACACACCUACUGCAAUUGUAACUCAUAAAUAAAUAUGCUUAAUUACCCAAAAAAUAAAAUAAAAUAAAAAACUCACAAUACAUACCAAGAAUCUUUAUAAAUGUAUUUUUGAGCAUUUUAAUUAAUCUUUAUAAAUCUUAAUUUAAGAAUAUAGAGAUGCUUUAAUUACGUAGUUGUCAAUUCUAAUUCUUGAACAAUUUUGUUAAGCCUGUUGUUACAUCAGUUUCCCUCAUUUUCUAAGACAUUUCCAUAUCAGAAACUGAAAAAAAAAAAAAAAAACAUGUUUUUUAGCUACCCAAAUAUAUAUAUAUAUAUACAUGUUUUUUUUUUAAUGAAUUCUGCGUAUUUGAUGCCUACUGUUGAGUGUUAUCCAAUACUGCUACUAAAUAUUCAUACAUCAAUAUAUGCAUAUCUCUAAUUACAACUAGUACUUUGAUAUAAUUAAGCAUAUAACUAUGAAGAAAAUUGAUUAUAUAUUUGUAAGGUCUGCUGCUUCUGUUGGCCGACUUAAUUGGUGGCCACGAGAACUCUCAUUUUCAUCCAAGUCUGGCGACGUACCCCAUUUUGCAUGGGGGCAAUCCGCCAUCUCCAUUGAUGGAAGUUGUUGUUUUAGCCAGUAGAUCGAGGACGGACCAUAUUGGGCUCCUCGCCAGGAGCUGAACCCAGCUGGACCAGAGCCAUCGGUGUUCAAUCAGGGCAUAGACUGCACUACUUCUGCUGAUCGUGUGGAGCUUAACAUAGAGCAGCUGCCGCAUCUUUUUCCCUCUAUAUUACCGGCGACUGCAAUGCAUUAAUACUUCAUCAUGAAACUUCAGACAGCAGCGAACCAGAAAAUUUUUCUUCAUCUUAAUUUCUCUACACUUUGAACCUAGCUAGUUCGUUUUAGUAUGCAGAACUGUUGUUUAGUUGUAAUAUAUUUGGUUUCAAUUUCUCUCAACAAGAAAUUCUAGCCGAUUAAGGGCCGAGAGUAGAUGAAUUUAGUUCAAGAUCUGAAGUGAAUGCUCUCUUAGAAUUCAAGCUCCAUUAUUGAAAACUGAAUAUUCAAGAUUGUGCUGUCUAAACAUCUCACUUUCAUUCGAAUUGCAAUAACACAUAUUUGAAACAAUUGGACCAACAUACUUUAAUAGCUCGUGUGAAACAAUUUAGGGCACUUCUAAGCUCUAGAUGAUGAAAUGUGCAACCUUCGUGAAAAAUAUAGAUUUAAUUUAAUUAUUCUAAAAGAAAAAGUAUAAAAAAAAAAAAAAAAAUCCAUGGCCUAGUUAUUUCCAAAACAGAAAUUAAAAAUUUUUACUUAAGACUAUAGACUAGUGCAUUCACAAUACCACCCCAAAAUGGAUGUUUAACUAGCUAGCUAAUAUGGCAUGUAUUUCAAUAUAUGAUAUGUUAAGAAAAUAAAUACACCAUUAAAGUCCAUAUUUGCAUGUACAUUUUUAUGUGACAAUGUAAACAUUACACACUCAAGAGUCCAAGUAGGACUAAUGUCCAGCUGAAUACAUCCCAUCCCAGAAGGUCCUUGUCUGAAACCUUGAGAGCUGAUAGUAGUAGCAUCAGUACCUAAAAAUUCCAGCCACCCCAGAAGCUAGCAGAACCACCAGGUAAUUAAUUACAUAUACAAGAGCAAAAGGUACAAAACUAGUCCCAAUUUCAUACUUUGGAACAUGAGUAGUGAAGUUAAUAACUUUUUUUUUCUUGAUUUUUUGGACUUGCUUGGUUUAGAUUAUGAAAGUCUAGACUGAACUGUUGUCCAAUUGGGCUAUAAAUGCUGUGAUCAAUGUCUUUUUGGAUUUCACUAAAUUCCUUUUUUGCACUAUCUAUGACAUCAAAUUCAACUUCUACAAGAGAAGAACUUGCGAACAAUGGUUUUUAGGUUUGUAAUCCUGGGUGCACACAUGUUGCACCAUGCCUGCGCUAUACUGGUAUAGCAUUGAGUUUUCACUUUGGCAUAAGGUAAUAUGUGCAUUAAUCUUCUUACCAUCUAUAUCCGUCGAAAAGAUCAUCUAACCUGGAUUUUACUGCUUUUAGAUGAACUCUUAAUUAUGAAUAUCGUGUUAAGAAUCUAGGCCAAAGUUCAAUGUCUGAUUAAAUUCUUUUUUGGCAACUGAUAUCAUCUAAGAAAACAUCAUUAUAUUUAUAGAGUGAUUUUGCCAUUAGACGAAUAUUUGGAAAAAUAAAAAAAUUAGGAUGAGACUGCUCUAUCAAGGGUUUUAAUCUGUAGGUCUAACAUUUUGUUCUACUAAAGGUUGAUUGGUGUGAGUAAUGUAUCAACUCUAAACAAAUUAUUGGGAAUCCAUUACAAGUAAUAUCUGCUACUUCUAGGUAGAUUGAAGAUUGAAGUAUAGUGGCAAUUAAGCAAAUUUUGUUGUGAAAAUCUAGACUGGACUCUUGUCCACUUGGCCAUAAUUUUUGCAAUCUUUAAGUGCCUAAGAAACUAGCUUAAUAGAAGUGCAUGAAGCGUUACAACUAUUAUGAUCCCAUGAAGCUAGUAACAAGGCUGCUAGGCCAAUCUCUUCCUUUGUUCUAUGAACCCUACAACCACCAGAGACUUUGUUCUGUGGUCGGGCAGAAAUUGUACGCAUGAAUGGAGCCCCAUCCACCCACAAAUCCACCACCAAAAGAAAAAGGCGGAAGAGCAACAGAUGAUGUGAUUUCCCAAUACUAUCACAUAAGAUCAGCUUUCCCUCCUCCUCUUGCCCGGGCUUGGGACCGGCUGUCUGUGGAGACAGGCGGAGUUACAAAGCCAUCCUACCAAACAAAACAGCACAAGCAUACAAGCCAGCCACAUUCAAGAACAAUAGAGAAGAAAGUUAUCCCCACCAAAAGGCAAGCUACAAACGUCUCAGCAAUCUCACAAAUAGCGAAAUAGACUUGCAACAAUCCAUACCAGAGUACAAGAGAACUCUACGAAUAGCACAGCACACCUUUCCUUAAUAAUAUACCUUUUUUUUUUUUUGGGGGGGGGGGGCCGCGGGGAGGAGGGUUUUUAAGUGUCCACACGGAGGGGGGGCCUUCAAACCCAUUAGACAGCCUUGAAUUUACCAAUUAGAUCACAAAUUACCACACAUUCCUUCAAGUGACUAAAAAAAAUAAAAAUAAAAAUUUUAAAAAUUGAUGCUAAAAAUUUUACAUAAUGCUAAAGGCUGAUAAAAGAUCAAAAAUUACAUAGUGCAAUCAUCCAACAACAAAUAGACCCUACUUAUGGGACUUAAAAAGUCAACACACAUCACAGGGGCUUAAGCUACACAGGUAAAUCAUACAGAGAAUGACAAGUUGCCCUGGAAAACGGGAACUCUUUCAUUUCUUGAAUCCACCGAAAUCAACCUCAAAAGUUGUACGCACUUCAAAUAAAUUAAUGAUUUUCAAGACUUGUACACAAGGGCAUUUGGAUUCCUCUCAAUCUGUCAAUCAUUUAUGAUUGGUUAUAUGAACACAAUACACCUGUGCCAGGGCCUGUUAAGAUGCAACCACCUUCCCAAAACCACAACGCAUACAACUAUUGCAGAUCUUAGAUUGGACCUCUUGAUGCCACACCAUAACUGUUAAAGGCCACAAGCAAAUAUUGUCCAAUAAACCCAAGGAUAACAAAAUUCAGUUGCACUUUAAAGUUGCAUACUAAACCUAUGUACCAGAGGAUCACAAAAUUCAAGUAUGAAAUGAAAUUCACAAACAGUACCAGUACCAGUGGUAUGUAAGUUGAUGACUACGAAGACAGAUAUUGCACGCAUCUGUUCUUACAUGACUUAACAAUACCAGUACUGAUACCAGUUGUAUGCAAGUCGACGACUCUGAAAACAGAUAUUGCAUGCAUCUGUUCUAACAAGAUUGAACCGGCAUCUGCUUAUGAAGUGAGAAUAACCACCUGACACUGCUCUCUUCCACUCAAUUGUAGAUAAUGAACGCCAGCAGCGAGUACUCAAUGGUGAUGGAGAAACAGUUGAAGUUAUUGUGCAUAGUAACGGACAAACCAGUUAAAACAUACAAAAAACCCAAGAAAGGAUAGGAGGCAAGAAAUACACCCCCAACUUGACCAUGACCAUGAACUUGAUAAUCCAUACUGAGUUGCAUCUUAGGCCACACCCCAUAGUAUAUCAGAAGUUUCCACAUUCAAAGUCGUCAAAUCAAAUUCCAUGCAGACUAGAAAGCACUUCAUCUUUUCCAUCCAUAUGACUUAAAAGGAGAAACAGAAAUAGAAAUCCCAAUUUCUGGACAUUGAACUCAAGAACUGGCUGAGGUAAAGAUAUCUUAAAUUCACUGGAAUAAGCAUGCUUGCUACAGAAUAUACAAUACUCUGCUAAAUACCACCAUAACUCCAGAUAACGCUCAUACUAUCAAAGCAGAUUCUGCAAACUUCCCAGUAUAUUAACACCACCAUCAUGAAUAAACCUGGACAAACAAAAUGACACUACGGCUAAGCUCAGACAUAUCCAUUACAAAUGAUCAGGAUAAGAAACCUCUACAUCUGUUUUGAUUUCAUGUUGAUCGGUAGUAUGCAAUUAGGAUAACUGUGCAGAAGCUAGGUAGAAUGGGUUAGUAAUGCAGAAAUUCAGGCUUGAAAACACAGAUCUGACUUCAACUCCCAGCCCUUCCUGAAAUUGAAUGCCGUAAUUUAAUUUUAAAAACUACGUAGUACUGUACAAAGAGAACCAAACACAACCACAAGAGAGAAGAAACUCCUUUGGAAUCAUGCAGACCACAAUACCCGGUGACAAAAUGACCAGAGAUUCUUGAAUUCAAGCUCCCUCAAAUGAAGACCAGAUAAAGCCAAGUUAAUAACAACUCAGCAAAUGCAACAGACCAAGUAGGGAUAUCAGAGAGAGAGAGAAACUCCUCUGAAAUCAUACAGACCACAAAAUCAGAUGAGACAAGAAAUUCUUGAAUUCAAGCUCCCUAAAUGGAAACCAAAUAAGACUCAAGUUAAUAAUGAGCCCAACAAUCAUCACAUUCAGCAUAUGACAGACCAGGUAGGGAUGAGAGAGAAAUCAAUCCGGAUCAUGGUGAACCAUAAAUUUUCUCAUCCCUCCAAUAAAGUUCUUUGCAUCUCCUAAUAAUUCACCCCAUCUGUUAUUCUAUAACAAAAACGUCAAAUAGUGACAGAGAGAGUUUUGACAUAUCAAGAAGCUAAUUGAGGUCAAAAUUUUCCAAAAACUUAUAAUAGACCCUGAAAAACAUGACAAACCAAAUAUUCCUAUUCCCCCUCUUUUUUCUUUCGAUACUCGCUAAUGAACUCAAUAAUAAAAACGCUGAAAACACAGCAUAUCUGGAGAACCAUCAUGACUAAUUCAGAAUUCAUCCAUCAAAAGCUAAUGAAUUGAUGUAAUAUAUGUGAAACAUCCCACCGUACAACUCAAUUCCAUAAGGCCUAAACCAUUACCUUGACCCUAUUACUUGAAAAACCUAACCAUGAUCAAAACUCCUGAAUCCAAUCUGCAGAAUUAAACAAAUUAUAAAGCCUGAAUAAUGCGCCAGUGAUGUUCUCAACAAACACAAUAACAGAAUGACAUGAAGAGAGAUUCCAUGAUUCAAACCACAGUACCAUGGAUAUCUGAAAAAGAAUUAUCAUCCAAGAGACCUCUAUUUCUUCACAGUCCUCUCGCUAGGACUAGAGUUCUGCAAGGGAGUACCAGGACAUCAGAACCCAACUUAAACUCGACACCAAGAUGAAAACCAAUAUCAGAGCUGUCCAUUAGUUCCAACUACCCAGAAAUUUAAAUUAUAUUACAUACCAUCAGAACUGAUUAAAAUACGAAGCCUAACGAUAAUUCUCUUUAGAUCAUGAUGAGUUAUCAAAACACCAGGAACCGCCUAUACAUACAAGUUCAAUGGCAGAAUUAGAUAAAUUUACAAUAAAACAAUCCCCAAAGAAAGAAAAAGCCUGGGAUUAAGCUAAUUGUAAAUUAAUGAAGAAGAAAGUAAAAUAGGUGCAAGUGAAUUAAAUGGGCAGGUCGCAGGUGACCAAUAAUUAACAGUUGGGAUUAAGCAGUCAUACACAAUUGCUAUUCUCUUCCUUGAUGCAUAAGGUAUUUCCAAAAACAAGAAAAUUUUUAAUUAAAUUUAAAUUAUAUAAUAGCCUACACACAUCAGAAGGACCAAAGCCCAAAAAAUCCUCAAGGAGGAAGGAAUGGUAAGACUAGGUAAGAAGACAAACGCCCUCCAAAAUAAUGUACUAGCCUUUGAUCUGAGGAUAGAGACCUUAAAGUUUUCACCACACCUCCAAAUCACUGGAAUCCUAGACUUAACACAAAAUAAUAUACCAAAUUAAGAACAAGUAGAGAAAAUCAUUUUUCAAGAAAAUGAACCCAAAAAAAAAUUAAAAGAGAGUAGGGAAAGAGAGAGCAAAUCAAAAUCUUAUCACAACCGAGUAGCAGGAUGAUACUCUCGCAGUUCAAGCUUCCCUAAAAUCAAGACAACAGAUAGAAGCCAUCACCAAAUAUCCCCAGUGAAUUUUUCAAGGAAAGAGAACAAAGAAAGACCAUGUUGCCAAGAAAAGCCCCCGAUUUAAUUCACAUCUAUGCAAAAGAAAGCUCUUCUCGCCUCCACACACCAGAAGUCCACUAUUCUUGAAAGACGGCAUCAAAAGAACCAGAGAAGAAACACAGAUCUUGAAACAUCACCAUGAUCGAAACAAACAGCAAUGCAACAGUGAUACAGAAAGCAAAACUCCAGAUAACGGAUUACGUUCACAGCCAUCCAAUAAGUCUAAGAAUCAUCACAUCCAAAAGCCCAUAUUCAGUCACCACCCUCAGGAGGAUUCUGCAAGCGAGUGAAAACAUAAACAGCCAACAGAGACUGAACUUGGCACAAAACUGAAAUAAAAAUUGUAGAUCAUCUACCAUAUUAUCAAAACCAAUAUAUGUAGCAUUUAUUCUUCUUCAGACCAUGAUGAAUCAGCGACACCAAAAUCCCUACCUAUACAAACAUGUUAGAUAAAAGAAUUUAAUUACCGUUAGAUACCAAGCACCGCAGAGCCAUCACCCAAAGAGAGGUCCUGGACUAAGCUAAUCCAUCAAGAGCCAAGUAAAGAACAAUUGGGUACGAUAACUUUAGCUUAAUUGACUGGGCAGAUUGAAAGUGAUUCAUACAGUCCAGAAAUAAACAAAGUUGAGAAUAAGCAGAGAGAUACGCUUGAUUAUACCCCCAUCUAUUUCUCAUGAAUCAGGAAAGUCAACUCUGCCGAAAUUACUGCCAGACCAAAUAACGGACACAAUAAGAAAAUAAGAAAUAUUACAAAUAAGGUGUCAAAACCCCUAAAUUCCUCAUGCACAAACAAUACAGACAGAGCAAAUCUACCAUCCAGAGAUCUCUCAUUGAUUCGAAGGAAAAAACAGAACAAGUAGGGGAGGAGCUUUCUCCAAAAUCUUGUAGACCAGAAUAGCAGGGUAACAAACAUGACGAGAAUGCUUUGUGAUCCAAGCUAUCCUAAAAUGAAGACAACAUCGAGAUGCCAUUACCAACAAACACCAGUGAUUUUUAGGCAAAAAGGAACGAACAAGAGAACUCCUGAUCUACCACGUCAAUCCAUAGCUCUUUUUGCCACCAUAUGUAGAACUCCACCAUUCUAAGACAACCACACCAAAAGAACCAGAGGGGAAAAGACAAUCUUGAAAAAUCAACAAGGAACAUUCAAGAAGUACUCAACAUACUACAAAACCGCAAAGUGUAGGCCUUCAUGAUCAAUUCUCAACACCACAGAGAAACUUCUGAAACCCAGAGCCACCACCUAUAGCAACUCCAGCUAGACAACAAAAAAAAAAAAAACCACCCAUAGGUCCAAAUAAAAGCUCCAGAUUUUACAUUACAUUCAGACCCAUCCAAUUAAUUCACACACAGUCACAUCCCAGAGACCUCCCCCUGACUAUUGAGUUCGGCAAGCAACACGAAACCAACAAAAAUUUGAAAUUUGAUGCAAAGAUAACUGACAAUGGAACGAACCAACAAUACCAACUUUUUACAAAUUUAGAUCAUCUAUCAUAACACCAAACCUAUUCAUAAAACAAGCAUAAACUUGAUUCUUGUUCAGAUCAUCACGAACCACCAAAACACCAGGAACGACCUGAAAAAACAGGUUUAAUGGCAGAAUUUGAACACUAAGAAAUACUUCAGAACAUCAAAAUCGCCAUACUGGUAAGAUCCUAAGCAUCUGAGAACCGCUCCCCACACGUAGAGAAGCCAUGGGAUUAAGCAAGCCAGAAAUUAAUGGAGAAGCCACAAAAUAGGUGCAUGUGAAUUGAAUGGGCUGGUUGGAGGUGUCCAACAAUUAAUGAUUGGGAUUAAGCAGUGAUACAUUUUCUUCGAGGAUCAAGAACAGACUUCUAAGCAAUUACUGACAUAACAAAUAAUGCAUGAGGUAUUUCUACAAACAUGGUGACUAUGGAAGAACAGAUUCACAAAAAAUUUAGAUUAUUUAAUACUGCACGGACAUCCAAAAGUACCAAAACCAGCACAAUGCUCAAGCAAAAAGGAACCAUAAGCAUAGGUAAGAAGAUAAACCCUCCAAAAUAAUAUAGCAGCCUUUGAUCUGAGGACAGAGACCUAAGUUUCAACCACACCUCCGAAUCACUGAAACCCUAGAUUCAACACAAAAUAAUAUAGCAAAUUAGAUAACAAGUAAAGAAAAUCAUUUUUGAAGAAAACAGCCAACAAAACAAAAGAGUAGGGAAAGAGAGAGCUCAUCCAAAAUCUUGUUAAAAAACUGAUUUGCAGGGUACCAAACACACCAACGCUCCUGGAACAAGCUUCCCUAAAAUCAAGACAACAGACAGAAGCCAUCACCAUCCAUCCCCAGUGAUUUUUUCAGGCAAAGAGAACAAAGAAAAACCAGGUUGAAAAGAAAAUCUCCCAAUUUUAUUCACAUCCAUCCAAGAGAGCUCUUCUCGCCUCCACACCAGAAAUCCACUAUUCUUGAAAGAGGACAUCAAAAGAACCAGAGAAGAAAAGACAAAUCUUGCAAAAUCACCAAGAACAACACACACAGCAAUUAACGUGAAGUCCUUUUUACCAAUGAACUCUAUAGGGAAACUGCUGAAAAACCAGAGCAACUGCCACCAGCAAUGCAAAAACAAAGCAUCACAUCCAUUCCACAAUUCUAGAAGGGAAUCCCAUAAUUCUAAAGAAGAAUCGCAUCCAAAAGCCCAUGUUCUAUCACCACCCUCAGUAGAGUUCUGCAAGGGAGUAUGAAAACAUGAAUGACCAACAAAGACUUGGCACAAAGAUCGAGAAUAAUCCUAAAAUAAAAUUUGUCAAUAAUUUACCAUACCAUCAAACCAAUAUGCAUAGCCUUAAUUCUUCUUCAAAUCAAGCAUAAUGAGCAAAAUACCAGGAACCCACCUAUACAAAAUGCUUGGUGACGGAAUUUAAUUCCUCUUAGAUACUAAGCAGUGCAGAACCAUCCCCAAAGAGAAGCCCUGAAUUAAGCUAUUCCAUCAAAUCCAAAAGCCAAAAGAAAGCGAACCUUAGGCAAAUUGAAUGCAUAGGUUGAAAGCAUUCAUAGACAGUUUUUCCAGAAAUAAACUGUUGAACAAGCAGAGACAUGCACUUGGUUAUAACCCGUUCUAUUCCUCGUGGAUCAAGAAAGUUGGCUCUGCAAAACAUGCUGCCAGACCAAAAAGAUACAUGGGAAACUUAAAUUAUAAAUAAGGUGUCGAAACCCCUAAAUUCCCCGAACACAAAAAGAACAAUUAGUGUAGGUGAGAAAAUAACUCCCUCCAAAAGAUUUUACUAGCCCUUAAUCUGAGGAUGAAAAGGCAAGUUUGAAUCACGAAUCACUUCACUGAAACCCUAAGUUGCAACAUCCUAGUAAUAUAGAAAAUUAGAGAAUAAGCAGAGCAAAUCCACAAAUUUCCCAAUCAAUAUCAAGGAAACAGCAGAAAACAAGUAGGGAAAGAGAGAGCUCAUCCAAAAUCUUGUAAACCAGAAUAGCAGGGUAACAAGCAUGACGAGAGCGCUCCGAUCCAAGCUUCCCUAAAAUGAAGACAAUGGACAAGCCAUUACCAACGAACACCAGUGAUUUUUAGGCAAAGAACACAAAGAAAGAAUUGGUUGGCAGAAGAGAACUCCCGAUUUAUCACAUUCAUCCUUCCAAGAAGAGCUCUUUUUGAUUGGGUGGUAGUAUCCCACUUAGCAGCAGGUCCCCCCUAUAGGUACAUUUGUCCCACAUCGGGGUUGGGGUUGGGUUUGGGUUGGGAUAUAAGUCCCUGGGAUUGCCUCAAGAGUUGCCGGCUUUUGAGGUUAAUUCUGGGAUUAGGUUUAUAAAACAACAAAAGUCUGAUUCAGGCUGUUGAAAAAAGAAGAGCUCUUUUUGCUUCCAUCCAUCCAAGAAGAGCUCUCUUUGCUUGCAUACGCAGAACUCCAUCAUUCUAAAGCCACGUUAAAAGAACCAGAGAAGAAAAGACAGCCUUGAAACAUCAUCAAGAACCAUUCAAGAAUGACUAGAUCAAUGAACUGCAAAACCUCAAGAUCAAAUCUCAAUCAACACCACAGAGAAAUUGCUGAAACCCAGAGCCACGACCUAUAUUAACACCACCUAAAGCAAUGACAAAAACACCAACGUUGAGCCCAAAAUAAGAGAUUAUGUUCAAAUCCGUCCAAUUAAUACAGAGUCUCGCAUACAAGAGACCUCCCUCUCACUAGAGUUCUGCAAGCGACACAAAAAACCAACAAAAACUGAAAUUUGACGCAAAGAUGGGAACUGACAAAUGAAACUAUUCAAUAAUACCAAUUUUUGACAAAUUCAGUUCAUCGUUCAUCUACAAUAAACCUAUUCACAUAACAAGCAUAAACUUGAUUCUUGUUCGGAUCAUGAAGAACCACCAUAACACUGGGAAAUACCUAGAAAAAACAUGUUUGAUGGCAGAAUUUAAAACCUAAAAAAUACUUGCCAACAUCAAUAUUGCCAUAUUGAUACGAUCCUAAGCAUCUGAGAACCAUUCCCAAAGAUAGAGAAGGCAUGGAACUAAAAUAAAUUCAAAAGCCUAAAGAGAACAAAUAGGCAAAGAUAACUUUGAUAAAGAACAAGCAAAAAAGGUGCAGGCAAAUUGAAUGGAGAGGUUGAAAGCUAUUUCAACGGUGUUUGUCCUGGACUUUAAAAAAAAAAAAAAAAAAAAAAAACUCGGUAAAACAGUCAUAUCAAAAGGUGCCAAAAGCAUAAAUUCCUCAAGAACGAGAUUGUUCGUAAGAAGAUAACUCCCUCCAAAACAGUUUACCAUCCGAGGAAGGAAGGCUCAGUUGUCACCACAAUUCCGAAUCCCUGGAACCCUAUCUUGCACAACACAAAAGUAAUGCAGGAAAUCAGAAAACGAACACAGCUGUCUCACAGAGCAAAUCAGCAUCUAUAGCCACAAAACUCCCAGUCAAUCAACAGAAAACAAGUAAGGACAGAGAAAACUUCUCUGGAAUCUCGUAAACCAGUAUAGCAGGGUAACAAACAUGACCAGACCCUCCUGCAUCCAAGAUCCCCUAUAUCAAUACAACAGAUAGGGCCAGUUACUAAUUGAAUCCCCGGUUAAUUUUUUUCAGGAAAUAAAAAAGGAGACCAAAAAGAGGGACGAGGGAAAAACUCCCGAUAUCGUAUGAUAUUCGCAUCCAGGAAGAGUCUUUUUUAGCCCCACCGAAGACUAGGAUUCUGCCACGCCACAACGAGGACAUCAAAAGAACCAGAAAAAGGAAAGACGAGAAAAAGAAAAGGCGAAAAAUCUAGAUAACAAAGAACGAUCGAGAAAUUACUAAUCAACAAACCCAACAAUAGUAAAAACUCAAUCUUUCU
RNAcentral lists this long non-coding RNA (37784 nucleotides) under Coffea arabica (coffee). RNAcentral describes it as "long non-coding RNA (CARA_LNC001390)". Lineage: Eukaryota; Viridiplantae; Streptophyta; Magnoliopsida; Gentianales; Rubiaceae. The record is from RNAcentral.